RNAcentral lists this ribosomal RNA (275 nucleotides) under uncultured prokaryote. RNAcentral describes it as "partial 16S ribosomal RNA". It matches the Rfam family "Bacterial small subunit ribosomal RNA", at positions 524 to 798 of the family's 1533-position model. The record is from RNAcentral.
UACGUAGGUGGCGAGCGUUAUCCGGAUUUACUGGGUGUAAAGGGCGUGUAGGCGGGUUUGCAAGUCGGGUGCGAAAGAUUCGGGCUUAACCCGGAGAGGUCAUCCGAAACUGCAGAUCUUGAGUGCUGGAGAGGAUAGUGGAAUUCCUGGUGUAGCGGUAAAAUGCGUAGAGAUCAGGAGGAACACCAGUGGCGAAGGCGGCUAUCUGGACAGUAACUGACGCUGAGGCGCGAAAGCGUGGGUAGCGAACCGGAUUAGAUACCCCGGUAGUCCCU